RNAcentral lists this ribosomal RNA (521 nucleotides) under Brachyhypopomus brevirostris (bluntnose knifefish). RNAcentral's name for it is "partial 16S ribosomal RNA". It matches the Rfam family "Bacterial large subunit ribosomal RNA", at positions 1923 to 2599 of the family's 2925-position model. The record is from RNAcentral. Lineage: Eukaryota; Metazoa; Chordata; Actinopteri; Gymnotiformes; Hypopomidae.
UUUAACGGCCGCGGUAUUUUAACCGUGCAAAGGUAGCGCAAUCACUUGUCUUUUAAAUGAAGACCUGUAUGAAUGGCAUAACGAGGGCUCUACUGUCUCCCCUUUCAAGUCAGUGAAAUUGAUCUGCCCGUGCAGAAGCGGACAUAAAAAUAUAAGACGAGAAGACCCUUUGGAGCUUAAGAUAUAAGCCAACUAUGUUAAUAGGCUCACCAACUCAGCCCUAAACUCAAUAGUCAUGGCCCACGUCUUCGGUUGGGGCGACAAUGGAGGAAAACAAAGCCUCCACGCGGCACGGGACUCCCCCCCAAAAAUCAAGAGCAACCCCUCUAAAUCUCAGAACCUCUGGCCAAAUAGAUCCGGCUCCACGCCGAUCAACGGACCAAGUUACCCUAGGGAUAACAGCGCAAUCCCCUUUCAGAGUUCCUAUCGACAAGGGGGUUUACGACCUCGAUGUUGGAUCAGGACAUCCUAAUGGUGCAGCCGCUAUUAAGGGUUCGUUUGUUCAACGAUUAAAGUCCUAC